RNAcentral lists this unclassified non-coding RNA (1411 nucleotides) under Hevea brasiliensis (rubber tree). Lineage: Eukaryota; Viridiplantae; Streptophyta; Magnoliopsida; Malpighiales; Euphorbiaceae. The record is from RNAcentral.
GAUGCGUUUCCUGCUGGUCUCCGUAUUAUUGCUGUCGAUGACGAUCCCACCUGGUUGAAAAUCCUUGGAAAGAUGCUCGAGAAGUGCUCUUAUGAAGGUUAAUUCGUCAACCUCUGCUUUUUGUGUUCCUCGUUUCACUCUAUCAAGCUUGCUUUUUCACUACCACUGUUGAUUAUGAACGGAGUUAGCGGGGCAAAUGAACCCGCCUAACUCCUUUUUAUUUAUUUUUGAAACUUCUAAUUCUUCAAUAUUAUUCCUUGCAUGGUUGCAUCAGUUUCUUUUUCUUUGGUGCUCUAUGAUGGUAAUUAUUAACAUGUCGUUUCUAUUUUGUUGUUCUGCUACAUGGGUUCUUUAGGAUAGCUUGUCUUUCAUGUUGAAAAGUGCAUUUGAAAAUCGAAAUUUAUGAUUUCUAUCUCACUCAGAGUGCUAUGUAUGUCUUGUUUGAGCAUGAAGGUGACCUGAACCUAUAUGAAAUCAUGUUCUGGGUUUGUGAAUGCCGUUCAUGUUGUUUUUGAGUAUUUUUGCUGUGUACUUGUGGGAAUUGUUUUGUAUUAUUUGAGAAUUUAAUUCGUUGAUUUUGUUAAAUUGAAGCAUCGUCAUCAUAAUCAUGAACUUACUAUUGAGAAUGUUAUAAACUUAAAUAGCUGAGAAGGAUUUUCGUGGAAUUUUGAUUGUUGAUAGUCAUCUUGGAGUGUAUCUAGAAAUAUAUUUAUUCCUAUCAUUGGUGGUGACUUUUAACCUUUCCUACAUCUCCAUUUCCUGAAAUGGAGGCGUGGAUGAGUCAGACUGCAAGUCGUAUUGAUGCACUUCUGCAAGCGUUUGAAGAUAACUUCUCUAAAUUCCAAGUACUUAGUUAGGAAAGCUCAAGUGCCAUGAAAUGUUUUCUCAUGCAACUUUAUAAAUUAAUGAUGUGAAUUUCUUAUCAUUAGACUUGUGUUACUCUAUAAAGAUUUGCCCUUGUUUUCUGGAGUUGGCUAGAUUAAAAAACUGAAAUUGUUUGUCACGAGCUGGGUUUAUUAUAAGGUUCAUGAAUCAACCAAGUUCUAAUUGGAUGAAGUUAUAUAACAUGGCAUUUUAAUUUGGAUAACAUGUGUUUAUGUCUCAUCCAAUUUGAACGAUAUUGAUGCAUUUUAAGAAAAGCUCAACUACUUAAUUGGGAAAAAAAAUUGUAGACUAGAUGAAAAAAUAUUAAAAAAUUCAAGUACUUCCCAUGUAAUUAUUUCUCAACUUAACUGUAGAUUUGAGGCUCAAAUGUUGGAUAAGAUCGAGUCAACUACAUUAAUUUCAUUUCUGCGCUAGAGAACUAAUAAGUCUUAUAAGUGAUGGACAUUAGGGCUUCAGUUUUACACAAAUGGUACACCUUGUUAACUUUCAAGAUUAGCACAUAUUUUUGGUAGAGGCCACUACAAUC